This is a long non-coding RNA of Anas platyrhynchos (mallard), 416 nucleotides long. RefSeq lists it as uncharacterized. NCBI's taxonomy places the organism in Eukaryota, Metazoa, Chordata, Aves, Anseriformes, Anatidae. The record is from RefSeq and is a predicted model, not a curated record.
UAAAGGCAGCUGUCCCAUCUGGGACUUGUGAGUACUUCUUCUGCCUCUUGCCAGUCUGUGUGCUAUUGCUUUUAAAGAGCGUCCUGGGGAAGGGACUGUUUUGGGGGUGAUGCAUGAGCAAGCUGAAGCUUCUGUGGGUGUUUAGUGCUGCCCUGAGCAUGGAGGCACCUGCCAUGUCAUGGACUAGUGCACGUUCCUGGCCAAUGGCUGUGGGUUGGACCUGUGCAAAUCAAGAGGCUUUCAUGCCAGCUUCCUUGAGAGCUAUGCAGUACUGUGAAUAAUGCAAAAGAAGAGGGAAGCCUACAAAGGUAGUGCCUUUGCAGAGCUGAAAGGCUUGUGGACUCACCUGACGUCCACAUCAUGCAAUGAGAUUAAAGGAGAUGGGGUACAAAGAUAAAAUACAAGAAUGACUUAUA